This 330-nucleotide ribosomal RNA is filed under the name uncultured bacterium. Its description in RNAcentral is "bacterial SSU rRNA". It matches the Rfam family "Bacterial small subunit ribosomal RNA", at positions 568 to 898 of the family's 1533-position model. The record is from RNAcentral.
UCCGUAGGCGGUGUGGCAAGUCGGAAGUGAAAUCUCUGGGCUUAACUCAGAGGCUGCUUCCGAAACUGCCGUGCUAGAGUGCGAGAGAGGCAAGUGGAAUUGCGGGUGUAGCGGUGAAAUGCGUAGAUAUCCGCAGGAACAUCCGAGGCGAAAGCGGCUUGCUGGAUCGCAACUGACGCUGAGGGACGAAAGCUAGGGGAGCAAACAGGAUUAGAUACCCUGGUAGCCCUAGCCCUAAACCAUCAGGACUUGGGGUUUGCCCUGUACGGGGCAAGUCCCGUAGCUAACGCGUUAAGUCCUGCGCCUGGGGAGUACGGUCGCAAGGCUGAA